AAGAAAAAGUUUUGGAAAAGCAGAAAUGACACAUUAACUGACUACUGGAACUCCCUUGGUCAGAAAGCAGAAGUCUGCCGUCCAUUCCAGUCAAGGGAGUCACAAGGACGGCGGAUUUUAGCCCAACUAUUACAAUAUGAUACAAAUCAGACUUAUGCUAACCGUGUAUAUAUAUUGUUUUUCUGCAAUUUUUCUCAUAAUGGACUACAGCUGAUUGAUCAUGGGCGAAGGGAAAAGUCUAACCCAGAAUUUGUACAAGGAUUUCAGGAAAAGAGAUUUCCAUCAAGUGUGUGGACAAUGCUGCUGGAUUACCUGGUGUAGUCGUCUAUGGUACACAAACAUUCCCCAUUUCAUCUCAAAAAGGGAGUGUAGAUGAGGAGGCCAUGGAAUGGGAGCCAUCAGAGGUGAAGCCACACCCAAAGGCCAGUGUUCAGGAGGAAGAGGAGGAGGAUGGAGCGGAUGACUGUUGGCAUCUACAGCUAUCAGACAUUUACAUAAUAAAUCUGUAAAGCCAAAAGAAAAACAUGUCAUGUUCUGGCUGUCAAUAAGAAAUGUGGCUUGCUUAACCAAA
Molecule: long non-coding RNA, 571 nt
Organism: Larimichthys crocea (large yellow croaker)
Lineage: Eukaryota; Metazoa; Chordata; Actinopteri; Sciaenidae
Exons: 4
Source: RefSeq, a predicted model, not a curated record